CCAGCUGCCUCACGGCCUCCUCCGCCACACCUCUCCUUCCUUUAGAAAAGGAAUGGCAAGGCCCCAACAUUUUCCUUUUGAAAAUACAUUGGAAGAACAACUUUGUCUCUUAGCCUUUUCAGUACUGUCCCUUUCCCCGCAAGCCAGCAAACCCCAGAAAGAGACUGAUCACAUUUUCAAGCCUGCUGGUGCCUACCAGUGGCAGCAAGGACGCCCCCAGAUGGGCAAGCGGCCUCGCGUGUCCACGGACAGCGGUUCUUUCUACAUGUUUGGGCCUGGGUCCUUGGACCAGUCCAAAACUCAAAUGAAAGCCUCGGACCACAUCUGCGAACCCCCUGGCUGGCCAGUCCUCCCCACCGCUGUGCACAACAGGGAGAAAGACGCGAACGAGGGCACACACACACACAGAGACAGAGAUCACCGGACACACGCCAACAAAGACACACAGCUAUGAACGGGCACGGGCUCGGCGGCCUCCCCGCCCCGGCGGAUGGUGGUGGCGCGGUCGCAGAGGUACAGGGAGUAACAGUAAAUACCAACAAGGACGGAGACGCUUAUCAAGUCUGCCGGCAGCCUGACAGAUGCUCUCGGGCUGGGGAAGGCACUUAGGACAAUCAUCGCUCCUAAAAGAGAAAAUGAUUAUACGCUACCCAAACCCUAAGUACAAGCUAAAGAUAUUCACCUCGUUGAAGCCAUUCCUCAACUAGCCCCUUGGCACUUGCUGGAAUGAUUCGCAGCACGAGCUCUACUUUCUCAUUUUCUGCUGACUCCAUGUGGGUAAUUCCUUUCUCGUGAUUAAAAGUGAGCUUGGCAGAGCCUUCAAAGCGGCCGUAGGUGUGGGGAGGCUCCCAGGGCAUCCUUUGUCUGAGGCAGGUGGCUAAUCAUUCAUCAGUGGCCGGACGGGCGGGCCCGGGGAAUAGUCAGGCACCUACAAAUAAUUUUUUAAAGGCAAACUUUAUAGAGAGCUUUAUGUAAACAUAUUUUUAUAAUAAAACAUGCAGUGGACGGAUGAAAUGAACUGUUUACCUUGGAAAAGAAUAGGCAGGCUUUUCUCUUCCAAUAAUCACUCCGGCCUUUCUGAAUGUCAUCCAGAAGCGAUUCUGCCUCCUUCGGCUUAUCCAGCAUCUGAGGCUGUGAGAUAACCCUCGGAGCACUGGCCUCCUUCUCUGGCCCCUCCAUUAUUAGCCUCCUGGUGGGUGAGAUAGAAUACAGUGAAUGUAAUAAUCGGACUUCACACAACAGGCUCGCUCUCUCUUUUAAAUGGAAAAUCCCCUUAUUACAAAACAAGGGGUGUUCUUUUUCUUCUACCUUUAAGUAGGACUGCCACAUUCAUUGCUUUUUUACAAAAACGCAGCUGCUUUUUAAGCUACAGAUAAAUAGAAUCUGCUAGGCGGUAAUUCGACUCAGUCUGAAUGCAUUAUUUUCUAAGACACUUUGGCGAGGCGCUUUUUAUUAUAAACUGGAAUGAACAAGGAAGGUCCUUUUCUCUUCUAAUUAUGAAUGUGUUUUGUUCCCUACUAUUAACCUACAAUGUCAGAUUGAUCUUCUUCUUCUUCUUUUUCUGCAGCCAUUUCGAUAAAUCAACAUUUUUUUUUUUCUUUUGGAAAAUUAGAGGGCUGAUGAUUAAGUCUUCAUGGACUCCAGUGACAAAAAUAAAAACAGCACGAGGGAGACGGGAAUGCAAAUGCUGUGACCAUAAAUAAAGACAAUGAAGUGGCCCUCUGAUGUCCAAGGUCCUAUAUUUUGACACGGCAACUUAAAAGUGACUUAUUUGUUAAUGUCAUGUUAAUUCAUUUUAGUAAAAAUAAGGCUUUCCAGGUAUGUUUGCAUAAAGCUGAUCUUGUAUUGAUUCACUUGGAAAGGUAGGAGGCAUAACGUUAACAGUUCUAUACGGAGGCCCAGACCCCUGGUGUCCGUUGUAUAUGUGUUCAUUACGCAUCAUCGCAUCAUCGUCUGUAACUUUCUCAGGCUUCCCCUCCCUUCUGGAAGCAACGCAAUUCCAACAAAAGAGGGACCACUGUGAUGACGCAUGUUCAGUUGGCAUUUCUGCUGCCAUCAAGUCCAAAGAUAAACACUGAGGAAAACGGCAAGUUCCUAAUCAUAUCAAAAGGCAGUCUAGAGACUCUGCCUGCCUAGCUGUUGGUUUAAUUCUGA
RNAcentral lists this long non-coding RNA (2154 nucleotides) under Sus scrofa (pig). RNAcentral's name for it is "lncRNA (ENSSSCG00005036164.1)". Lineage: Eukaryota; Metazoa; Chordata; Mammalia; Artiodactyla; Suidae. The record is from RNAcentral.